Molecule: transfer RNA, 84 nt
Filed under: Nitrososphaerota archaeon
Lineage: Archaea; Thermoproteati; Nitrososphaerota
Description: tRNA-Ser
Rfam family: tRNA
About the family: Transfer RNA (tRNA) molecules are approximately 80 nucleotides in length. Their secondary structure includes four short double-helical elements and three loops (D, anti-codon, and T loops).
Source: RNAcentral
GCCGGGGUCCCCUAACCUGGUAUGGGGCAGGCCUGCUAAGUCUGCGGGCGAAAGCCCAUGCGGGUUCAAAUCCCGCCCCCGGCG